This 253-nucleotide ribosomal RNA is filed under the name uncultured bacterium. RNAcentral's name for it is "partial 16S ribosomal RNA". It matches the Rfam family "Bacterial small subunit ribosomal RNA", at positions 524 to 776 of the family's 1533-position model. The record is from RNAcentral.
UACGUAGGGGGCUAGCGUUGUCCGGAAUCAUUGGGCGUAAAGAGCGUGUAGGCGGCCAGAUAAGUCCGCUGUGAAAUCUCGAGGCUCAACUUCGAGCUGUCGGUGAAAACUAUCUGGCUAGAGUCCGGAAGAGGAGAAUGGAAUUCCUGGUGUAGCGGUGAAAUGCGCAGAUAUCAGGAAGAACACCCGUGGCGAAGGCGGUUCUCUGGGACGGUACUGACGCUGAGACGCGAAAGCGUGGGGAGCGAACAGG